Molecule: long non-coding RNA, 1657 nt
Filed under: Mus musculus (house mouse)
Lineage: Eukaryota; Metazoa; Chordata; Mammalia; Rodentia; Muridae
Description: Egfr long non-coding downstream RNA, transcript variant 3 (Eldr)
Source: RNAcentral
AUCACCGUAAGGGAAGGAAAGAAAGGAGGCCCAAGUCACUGCAAGGUCCAGCGUCCCCGCUGAGUGACAGCGGGCACAUGGGCGGGACUUAAAAGAGCGGGACUUACAAAGGGCGGGACUUACAAAGGGCGGGACUUGCAAAGGGCGGGACUCCCAAAGUGCUUUGGUAGCUAGCGAGGGCUUUGAGACGGCCGAGAGUUUGAGCGCCAAGGCUCUCUCUCCCCAGGGGACUCUGCAACCUGACUAGGUGCUCCUUCCCUGAGGUGUGUGCUCGACAAAGCAUAGUAACAUUCCAGGGAGCUGCCCGGGGAAGCUUAACGCUCGAUGCGGGUGGUAGGAAUGUAUCAUGGUGGGAGAGUCAUGGCAGCAGGCAGCUGGAACAGGACACUAAGUAAGAACACCUUCAACUACAAGCAGAAGUCAAGGAGAACUGAAAGUGGGUCCCUGAAGUCAGCUCUGGAAAACUGAGAAGAGUGCUGCGUGCAGAAUGCUUCGCUGGAUGUUUUUUUCCUCUAUUCUCACAGACAACUGGAACCUUGAGAGCCAAGGGAGAUUGUGGAGAGGAUGUGAGCAGAUGGCCGCUGAGGAUAGCUGACCGGGUGGGUGGGCUGGAACCUAGGCCAGGACCUGCCACCUGAGGAUUGUGCCUGCGAUGUCCAUAUGAUUGUGAACAGCUAAACAGGGAGCUCUGCUCUGUUGAAAAUCAUAAAGUUGAAAAUGAAAAGAGAUAAAACCUUAAGCACAGAAGAAUAUUUUGUCUUUGGUGAAAAGAACAACUUAAGAUUAAUUUUAUUUUUAUGCUGUAUAUGCGUGUGGGUAUGUGCAUGCAAAUUUGGGUGACUCCAAAGGUCAGAGCAUCAAAUCACUUGGAGCUGGGAUUAUAGGCAAAUGAAAGCUGCCAAGCAUAGGAAUCUAACGAAUGUCCUCUGUAUGAGCAGAGAGUACUCCUUACUGCAGAGCCAUGUUUCCAGCUUAAGGAGGGCUUUUAGAAAGAAGAUUGAUAGAGAAUACAUACUUAAUAGUUUGAUGUACUAAAAAGGUUAAUUUUUAUUCACUAUAGACACUAGAAAUAAUAUUUACAAUUUAUAUAAUGCAUGUGAUUAUAGAACUAGAAGUAACAAUAUUAAAUAUAAAUAAAUUAUUGUAAGUCAGAUAAGAGAGAUGGAAACCCCAGUAGGAAAAACCCAUUAAAGUAACUAAAAUGUGGACAAAUGAAGGUGUAUCGUUUAUUUUUACAAUUGUAAUGUUAUAUAAUUAGUAAGCACAGUUUUAUAUAAGAAAGGUGUUUAUUUGCACUAGGAAAAUGUAAAACACAAAGCAGAAGACCAUAUCGAACUAGCACUAAUUUAAGAUUUAGUAACAAGAGCUACCAGGGAGGUGAAGAUAUGAUACCCUUAUAUUCUGGCAGCCUGACAGAAGCUUCUUAAGUUACAACAUCCCCAAGCCAUUUUCCAAAGCCAACUCUCAUCAUAGAACCCUUGAGCUAGCAAAAUACACUGAUUUUAAUAUUGUUUAUGGUUUUGGAAGCAUGGAAACAAACUGUCUUUGUUACAGAACAUGAUCUAAUACCUAUCAUGAUUUACUUUUAAGAACAAAGAUAUAUUAAUGUAUAACACAAUGUAUGUAUAAUUACAUAUGUGUAAUGUAUAUCACAAAG